GCUCCUAUCUAGAUUUAUUCUUUACAUCUAAUGCAUAUUGCAGAAAACAGCAAAAACUCUGUGGCUUAACUCAACAAAAAUCUGUUGUCUGUGCCGCAAGCCCCACUGUUUCGGGAGGUGGUUUGUUCCACAUAACCACUCCACACUAUUUAUUAUGCCUCUAUCUGAACAUAAUGCUUUAGGUUUUUUGAGAGGAGGAGAAAGCAAUGGAAAAUUGGCCACUGGCAGUUAAAUGCUCCGCACCUUUAUGGAAGUUACACUGGCUCACAUUUCCUAGGCCAAAGGUAGUCUUGUAUCUGAUUUAACAUCAAAGUUGGCAGGGAAAUACAAUCCUUCCUUGUGUCUGAAAGGGGAGGGGGCCCCAUACUGGUAAGCAGACUGCCACGCAGAGUGUUCCAACACGUACAUGUGCCAUAUUUGUCCUACCGAUUCCCCUGCCCUUGAAAGAGCUGAUGAUAUAGUUCACAGUCUGUGCCAAACCUUAGGGCAGACGUGAUACGAGAGGCCACUUGGGUCUGAAAUGCCAGAAUUGAAACCAGGAUCCAUAACCCAGGAUGGGAAAGCUGGAGUGUUCCCAGAAGUAACAGAGUUCUCAGCUAUAGCCACACAUUCAGGAAGCUGUGCAGGUACAGUGUAUUACCAAGAGGUAAUUUCACCAUCAGGUGACCAUGAACUCAACCAGAGUAGAGGUGGUCCCAAACAGACUUGUCUAUUGAGUCUCAUUUCAGUCCCUAGGGUCUUCACAGAAGGAUGUCAGGGGUCCCUUCCUUCCCUGAUCUCUCCCAGCUUCUUUUUCUUUCCUCCCUAAAUGAUCUCCUUACUUUUUGUACACCUCUACUUCUCUUUCCCUAACAGUGUCCCACUCCAUCCUGGAGACAAGUCCUGAACAUUUCCCCCAAGACAGUCUUGAAGUGUCAUGAGCUGUUCUUACGACACAUAAGCCCAUUGUAGAAGGACUUAGAUAUUUUUGAUUCUUUAUAAAAUGGAGCACCUUCACCCUUCCUCUUGCUGCAUUUCCCCACUCAUGAGAAGGCACAGAGGGCAUUGUUAAGCGGCACCUGAAAACGGAACUUUCCAGGCUCUUGGAUCCAAAUCAGAACACAGGUGUUGAGUAUGGAAGAGUCACUUCAAAAAUCGGAUUCCAUGGAUAUGUGAUCAGUAGUUAAAGGGUUAAAGUCGCAUUCGAAAGAAAGGUGACCCUCCUUCUCCUUGCUAAUGUAAUUGGCCAGAGUCCAAGCCAUUGGCCAAGCCAUACAUGAGUGGGGCCACCUGAUUUGAAAAAGGGACCUUAUACACAAACAAAUUGGAUGACCUAGAAGAAAUGUACAAAGACCUAAAAACACACAACCUAUCCAAAUGGAAUCAAGAAGAAAUAGAAAGCCGGAACAAACCAGUAACAAAUAAGGUGAUUGAAUCAGUAAUCAGAAACUUCUCGACAAAGAAAAGCCCGGUGCCAUAUGGAUUCACAGUCCCUGGAAACCACCAUUCAACUUUCUUGUCUCCAUGAAUUUGCUACUCUAGAUACCUCAUCUGUCAUGAAUAUAUGCUGAUCAGAAUUACUCAGAAUCUUCUGUCAUGGUUCCAGAAACGUGGGGAAAAACAAAAGACAACACAGAGAUAAAAAUUACAGGUUACCAAGAAUUAUUUUUGGAGUUUUUUCAAAGCCAAGACAGACAACACAGCCAGAAGAUGAGAACAGGCAGCUCGUGAUAACAUUUCUCUUCAGUGGAUCAGGAAAGAGUCACAGAAGGCGAUAUGAUUGUCUACGUGAAAAAUCCCAAAGAGUCAGCAUAUAUUCUGAAACUAAUAAGCAACUACAGCAAGGUCACAGGAUAAAAUGCUAACACACAAAAGUCAAUUGCUUUCCUAUAUAACAGCAAUGAACAACUGGAGUUUGAAACUAGAAUUAUAAUACUAUUUACAAUAGCACUGCAAAAAACCAAGGAAAAUAUUAGGUAUGAGUCUAAGAAAAUGUACAAGAAGUACAUGUGGAAACAACAAAACUGAUGAAAGAAAUCAAGGAUCUAAAUAAAUGAAGAGGUGUUCCAUGUUCA
Molecule: long non-coding RNA, 2054 nt
Organism: Herpailurus yagouaroundi (jaguarundi)
Lineage: Eukaryota; Metazoa; Chordata; Mammalia; Carnivora; Felidae
Exons: 5
Source: RefSeq, a predicted model, not a curated record